This 301-nucleotide ribosomal RNA is filed under the name uncultured bacterium. RNAcentral describes it as "partial 16S ribosomal RNA". It matches the Rfam family "Bacterial small subunit ribosomal RNA", at positions 509 to 807 of the family's 1533-position model. The record is from RNAcentral.
CAGUCGCCGCGGGAAUACGUAGGUGGCAAGCGUUAUCCGGAAUUAUUGGGCGUAAAGCGCGCGUAGGCGGUUUUUUAAGUCUGAUGUGAAAGCCCACGGCUCAACCGUGGAGGGUCAUUGGAAACUGGAAAACUUGAGUGCAGAAGAGGAAAGUGGAAUUCCAUGUGUAGCGGUGAAAUGCGCAGAGAUAUGGAGGAACACCAGUGGCGAAGGCGACUUCCUGGUCUGUAACUGACGCUGAUGUGCGAAAGCGUGGGGAUCAAACAGGAUUAGAUACCCGUGUAGUCCCUGUCUCUUAUAC